CCUUGAAGCUUCGUGGUGGAGAGAGAGCACAAUAGAAAGGUUGUUAGGGAAGGUUUAUAUCAUUAAUCUCAGUUGUUGGAUUUAUUACAAUCUAAUGGCUAAGAUUUGUCCUCACAUAAAAGAUAGGUUCUCACAUAUAUAUAUAUAGAAAUGGGACCAUGUGAGAACACAUCCCUUAUGUGAGAACACAUUAUAUGUGAGAAUAAUUUAUAACCAUUGGAUCAAACAAAAUCCAAUGCUCCACAUCUAUCCCUGUCAAAAUAACGGCAUUAGUGUAAAUUUUAGAUUGUAUAUAAGAAAACUUUAAAAAAAAUUGUCCAGCUUUUUCUCUCUCUAGAUAUUGAUCUAGGUCUUGCCUUUCUUUCUCUUCUUUCCCCAAAAAUUUCUGAACGAAUACUGCUUUGAUCAUAAUGCUGAGAUAUCUUUGAAUUUCAACUUGAAUCUACAACUAUAGUUAGAAAUCGCGAAUUCUUCAUCAAAUGGAUUUAACCGAAGCUAUUGUUACAUAUGAACGAAUGAUGGUUUCAUGGGGAGGGUAAUGCAUGUGCAAAUGUGAGCAUGUCUAUUCAAGUUGCUGCUAUUUAAUCGCAGGGCUCAAGCAUUUGUGGAUAUCUACUACUUUUUCUCUUUUCAAUUCAAAAAAAAAAAAAAAAAAAGGGAAUAACCCCAUUAAGGAGGACACUGGUGGAGACUUGGAGAAGUGAAAAAUGAACAGCAGCAGAUAGCCACACAAUUUGCCGUCGUUACCUCAAUAACUUCUUCGACAGUUGACGAAGAAUUUUUAGGUGGAAGUAGUGUUUUGAUGAGAAGUGGUUGAUGGAGAGUUGACGUUGUUGUUGAUGAAUUGAGUUGCAGUUCUAUCUUGGUAGUAAAGUGAGAAUUAUUGAUCCAACAACUCUCACUCCUAGCCAUGGGUCCUUGUUAACUAAGAAUCUCCACCUAUAUUAUCGCCAUUGUUCUAUCCAUCUCUCUGGUAGCAAUUUCCAAUCCAGCUAUUAUACUUGUAGUAAAGAUGACUCUGAAGAAAAUCGUAUGCCUUAUAUCGGGGAAAACAAUAUCGUGGAAUAGAAAUGAUGAUGAUGAUGAUGGAGUGCAUAGAAUAGGAUUAUCAAAUCACGAGGAGGAUUAAAUAGUUGAGUGGCCAAGGUAAAGGUUGAAAUCGUCAAGGGGAAAUCAAUUCGGUAUGCUGGUGAACGAGUUGAACCAGGGCUCUGUUGAUUUUGGUCAAGAGGGGUUGUUUGAUGGUCUUAAAGAUCUUUAUCAUGGUCUUGAUAUUCAUCCUGAGAAAAACAGAUAACAAAUUCUAACUAGGCUCUCCAUUUUUACCUAUUUUUUUAGCAAUAUAGUUGGUGGCAUAAUUUGCUCUGUUUUAAAAAGAGAAAUGGAUUAUUAGGUAGAAUUGAACUACUUAUAAAAAAAAUUAAUGAUAUGGAGUAGAUUAUUGGGGUUAGAUUUAUGGUUUAAACAUGAAUUUAGAUUAUAUUAUUUUUAAACGUGUUUGGAGUCGAUUAGGUUGGUAAAACCAUAUUUUUGAUCAUUUUUAAACGUGUUUGCCUGCAAAGAAUUGUCUUAUGCCUUUACUCUCAGCAUGUGGCAUAUUAGAAUGAUAUUGAGAAAUCUGAACUUUAGUUAGAAAUUUUUACUUAGUAUGAAAACAAGAUUUAGCAACAACUUGAACAUAUUGUCAUGUUGACGCUCCUGUAUUUUGAUCAUUUUAUAUGCCGUGCUGAUAUUCAUAGCAUGUAAU
Chenopodium quinoa (quinoa) is the source of this 1747-nucleotide long non-coding RNA. RefSeq lists it as uncharacterized. NCBI's taxonomy places the organism in Eukaryota, Viridiplantae, Streptophyta, Magnoliopsida, Caryophyllales, Amaranthaceae. The transcript is spliced from 4 exons. The record is from RefSeq and is a predicted model, not a curated record.